This is a long non-coding RNA of Mauremys mutica (yellowpond turtle), 1871 nucleotides long. RefSeq lists it as uncharacterized. NCBI's taxonomy places the organism in Eukaryota, Metazoa, Chordata, Testudines, Geoemydidae. The transcript has 4 exons. The record is from RefSeq and is a predicted model, not a curated record.
AGGGCAGCCACCUGUGAGGUCCAUCUGGCACGAUCCUGAGCCCACAUAACUGGACCGCUGGCGGGGGGCACUGGGCACCCUACAGAUUGCCCAGGACAGCUGCCUCGGCCGCGGGACAAUCCUGGGGAAACCUGGACAAGUGGCAGCCCUACCCCUCUGCACACACCUACGCACAUACACCCCUACCACACACACCAAGGACACUGUCACCUCCCCACAUUGGAAAAAUGUUCAUAUUCAAACAUUCCCUUCCAACAUCAUCACCUUCCAUGCACACAAGUCACCUGCCCACUUCCACACAGUGAUCUUCCCCUCUGGCCCCAGUCACCUUCCCACCAGCAUGUCACUUCUCUUUUGCAACAGUCUGUCACUUCCCCACCUAAUACACAAACAGCUGUUCCCCCUUUCCAACACAACUCACCUUCCUUCCCUGGACAAUCACCUGUUCCCUUAAAACUCCUCACCCAUACAUGCCUGCCCCCUUCAAAAUUAUCAUCUCCCCACUACAAAUCAUCCAUUGCAACACCAUUACCUCUCCCUCAUAAAUAAUCAGCUCCCCUCCAACACUAUCCACCUUUCCCAAGCAGACAGAAAAACAGUUCUCCCCCACCCCACCCCCAGCACUGUCCCACAAUAGACACAGUCACUUGCCCCCUUCCAACACAGUCAUCUUCACCUCAUGGACACAGUCAAUCACCAUUGCACACACCUACACACUCCCUCUCUUGAACACCAUCACCCUCCAGCACUUCUCCCCUCCACCCCCAGACACUGCAACACCUAUGAACUGUCUCUCACAUACCUUUUCCACCUUAAACUAUGUCACCACAACACACACACCUCCUCUCAUGAGACUGCCACACCCCAAUGCAGGAUUUAUCCUUUGUACAUAAAGACUACAGUAUUAUACAGCUAUUGCCACAAAACACUUCACUAACAUUUGCAUGCUGAAGCAUUUUGGGCUGUUACUGGGGACUUACAAAAAAUAGGAGCAGGACAUGGCAUGCUGGGUGAUGGGAGGAGAAGCAAAGGAAAAAAGCAGAAGCGGUGGAGAACAUUACAUGACACAUCCUCCACCCAAGUAGCGUGCAGCCUUCUGUGGCCUGAUCACCCAUUGAUACACCAUUCGAUUUCUGAAUGAACACACCACAUGUUACUACCCAGAAGUUACCUGCACCUCUUUUCUUGACGUGAUCUUUGCAUACCUGUUUGGGACAACCUAUGUGGUGGUGUUGCUUCAUGUCUAGCCAAAUCCCAAGCUAAGCAAAUUGAUUGUGAGACCUCCUCCUCCUCCUCCUCUUCAAGAAGAAGACUUAGUGUGGACUAGCAACUAUAGUCAUGGAGUGAAAUUAGUACCUGGAGAACUUGUAAAAUGCAUGGGACCUGUGGGGUGGCUUUGGUGGUAAAAUCAUCCAAUGGUAUUUUAUGGAAAAAACAUAUGGACUAGUUGCAGCCUCGAAGUACUGAAGUCAGGGCAUAUUUCAGUAGGACUUUGUGUUCCUCUGAUUGAACCUCCAUCCAUUACAACUCCUAAUUUUAAUGACCUUGAUACCAGAUCCAGUUGAUUCCUUACUCCAAACUGUUCCUGUUGUCCAGUACACUGCUACACCACCAUCACUAGAGGGAGGGAAAAUCAGUUGUGCACCUGAAAUUAUAAAUUGUUUAGUUCACUGAGUUGCUGUUCCAGGGUAGAAAAAUCCCUUGCAACUUCAGAAUCUGCAGGAGUCCACCCACAACUUUGUUAGCUAACAUGAAACACUAUAUAACCUAUGUAAAUGAUUGCGUGUGUGCAGUUGGAAAGUUUUUAUAAAGUAAAAUGAGGAAUGUGAAGUCCUAUCCCUUUAAGCGUUUGAACAUUCCCCAUUGCAAAG